UUCCCUCAUUGGAAACAUUUGUUGAAUAAAGUGAUUUAAUCUGUUCUUAUCAGCUUAAUAUCUGAUACACCCUUCAUAGGAGGGUCAGAAUAUUAACUUGAUUUUUGGAAUCAGGUGGAAUCGGCGGGGCUCGCUCCUCAUCCACCAUUGGUCAGCCUGGCAUUGCAGUGAUUGGCCCACAUUUG
Molecule: small nuclear RNA, 185 nt
Organism: Frieseomelitta varia
Lineage: Eukaryota; Metazoa; Arthropoda; Insecta; Hymenoptera; Apidae
Product: U2 spliceosomal RNA
Exons: 1
Source: RefSeq, a predicted model, not a curated record